GGCCGAGCUGCUGCUGCUGCGCACCGAGAUCGACCUGCUGCUGGCCAACCAGCACCCGAACCCCCAGUUCUUCACCCAGAUGCUGGUGGGGAGUGAGGAGCCGCUGGUGCCCGACUCGCCCGCACUGGCAGACGCAGAGACCCCGAAACGUGAGCCCCCACCUGAGGACUCCGGCUGGGCCUGCGCGUCCUGCACGUUCCUGAACCGCGGGCCCAGCGUCCUGUGCGGCGUCUGCGAGCGCCCCCGCCUGGCCAGGAGGCCCCAGCCCCC
This 270-nucleotide long non-coding RNA is filed under the name Columba livia (rock pigeon). Its description in RNAcentral is "partial uncharacterized LOC102097497". The record is from RNAcentral. Lineage: Eukaryota; Metazoa; Chordata; Aves; Columbiformes; Columbidae.